This 121-nucleotide ribosomal RNA is filed under the name Candidatus Bathyarchaeota archaeon. The record is from RNAcentral. RNAcentral also lists the same sequence under 1 other name. Lineage: Archaea; Thermoproteati; Candidatus Bathyarchaeota.
GUUGCCGGCCAUAGGUGAUGGGGAAACACCCGUUCCCAUUCCGAACACGGAAGUUAAGCCCAUCACCGCGUUUCCAAGUACUAACGCCGAGAGGCGUUGGGAAAGGGGCGUGCUGGCAACG